CCUACGGGUGGCUGCAGUGAGGAAUAUUGGUCAAUGGGCGCGAGCCUGAACCAGCCAAGCCGCGUGAGGGAAGACGGUCCCAAGCAUUGUAAACUUCUUUUGUCGGGGAGCAAAAGCAGCCUCGCGUGGCGUUCCGAGGGUACCUGAAGAAAAAGCAUCGGCUAACUCCGUGUCAGCAGCCGCGGUAAUACGGAGGAUGCGAGCGUUAUCCGGAUUUAUUGGGUUUAAAGGGUGCGUAGGCGGAAGGUCAAGUCAGCGGUAAAAGUGAGAGGCUCAACCUCGUCGAGCCGUUGAAACUGGUUUUCUUGAGUGAGUGAGAGGUAUGCGGAAUGCGUAGUGUAGCGGUGAAAUGCAUAGAUAUCACGCAGAACUCCGAUUGCGAAGGCAGCAUACCGGCGCUCAACUGACGCUCAUGCACGAAAGUGUGGGGAUCGAACAGGAUUAGAUACCCUAGUAGUC
This 459-nucleotide ribosomal RNA is filed under the name uncultured bacterium. RNAcentral's name for it is "partial 16S ribosomal RNA". It matches the Rfam family "Bacterial small subunit ribosomal RNA", at positions 338 to 795 of the family's 1533-position model. The record is from RNAcentral.